Long non-coding RNA from Gigantopelta aegis, 302 nucleotides. RefSeq lists it as uncharacterized. The transcript is spliced from 3 exons. NCBI's taxonomy places the organism in Eukaryota, Metazoa, Mollusca, Gastropoda, Neomphalida, Peltospiridae. The record is from RefSeq and is a predicted model, not a curated record.
CGAAGAUGGAUGGAGCGGUGAUACGUGUAAAACAGCAUGUACGACUGGUCGCUACGGUUCAGACUGCAGAGAGACGUGUGGACAUUGUUUAAAUGGAAAUCCUGAAUGUGGCACGGAGACUGGACACUGUUCUAAAGGAUGUAAAUCUGGUUGGAGCAGUGACACAUGUAAAACAGCAUGUACGACUGGUCGCUACGGUUCAGACUGCAGGGAGACGUGCGGGCAAUGUUUAAAUGGUCAUACAGAAUGUCACACGGAGACUGGACGCUGUUCUAAUGGAUGUACUGCUGGAUGGAGCGGAG